This 1312-nucleotide unclassified non-coding RNA is filed under the name Leishmania donovani. RNAcentral's name for it is "gene:LdHU3.34.1370(CDS-product:Transcription_fact or_Pcc1_putative)". Lineage: Eukaryota; Euglenozoa; Kinetoplastea; Trypanosomatida; Trypanosomatidae. The record is from RNAcentral.
UGCCACGCCCACCACGCUACUUUUCUAUGGGCCUCUCGUUAUGACCACUUGAUGCCGCUUCUCCUCUCUCGCCUCCCCGCACCGCUACACACAGUUUAGGCACCACAAUACCGUGCCGGCGAAGGACUAAGGUCCACAAGGCAAGGUAGCGUCGUUCUACCGAGAGGGACGAAGAGGAAAGCAGCGUACCCUUCUCGAACAGCUUUUCUUUGCAGAGCGUGGGGCUUUGCCGCACCACGCAAAUGCCGGCCCAACCCACCGCCUCUUCCGGCAACACUGCCCGAGAGAAGCGCUGCGGUUCUCACAAGAAGAAUGAUCUCUCAAUAGAGUGCAGCUUGCGCCUGCCGCUGCCUGACACGGCGUCUGCCAACGUUCUGUGGAGGGUGCUGAAGGCCGAUCCUUCUCUUGCCGGAACUGUGAAGGAGGUCUACUGGUGGAGUGAGGACCCGUCUCAGCGGACCGUCGCGGUAACGAUCCAGGCAUCCUCAAAGCGCGACCUGCGCUCUGCCGUCGGAUCCCUCUUGGAUCAAGCUAAGCUUGUUGUGCGAACGUUGCGUGUGUAUCCUCCCAACACGGCUGCUGCCACUACCGUCGCCGAUGCUGGAUUGAGCACGGUAUGAGACGUGCAUUGGUGAGCCGUCUGCUCUGCUCCUUUUUCUACCUCCACCGCACCUCUUCCACACUUCUUCGUCGCGGCGCAGCUGCGCAGAGAGGCGUGAGUGUUGCCUGCGCGCGGACCGGAUCGCCUCCGCUGCCACCUGCCUGCCGCGUUUUUUUUCUUUUUUUCGCCCUUUCCACAAGUGGCGCCGGCCUUGUGCUUAUCCAUCGGUGAGUUCCACUGGGAAGACAACAACAGCAGCAACGCAGUAAGCCAGAAGAGAAAGCGAACAUCCUAAUACGAAAGUGUAAAGCAAAAAGGAAAACGUAUCGCAAACCACCUUGUCGAACUCUGUGGAGUUUCUCCUCUGCCGUGCUUCGUCGCUGCACUGCCACCUUUUCAAGCGUGUCUGUCUGUGUUGUUCCCGCCCUGCUGUCUUCCGCCGCGGCUCGGUGUGCACGCGCCCUUUAGCUCGAGUCGCAAAGACGAUAUGUUGUUGCGUAAGAAAGAAGAGUGAUGCAUUAUUGAGCCGCUGAAGGUGUGCAUCUAUCUUCCCCUCCGAGUGCUCCAUGCCCUUUGCGUCGACUUUCGCUGUUCUCGCUCUCUGCUUUUUGCUGGUGACAUUGCGCGCCUGUGCACUCCGUGCAUGCCCCCCCCCCCCUCACAUUCGCACCCGCCACACAUCUGCGGACGCGCCCUCCGCCUCUCCUGCAG